UAUGAAAAGAGGCUGCUUGCUCAAUGUGCCUAAGACCAUCUUUAUUUGUGCUGUUUUAUAAUCUGGGUAAAACUAGGAAUGUAGAAGCAAACUUAGGUCAUAGUGAAGACAGGGAGAAAGGACAGUGCCUGUUACCCAACUGUGUGUAUGCUACAAUAAUGAAGAACACCACCAUUUACAAUGAGUUAGCACAUGAACUUCCCGGAGCUCCAGGGGGAAGCAGAAAUGCAAAUCCAGCCUGACCCUCAAGAUUCUUCAGCAACCCUUCGGUGUUACUUCUUGCUCAACCCAACCUAAUAUACCACCUCCUCCAGGCCUGUUACAAAUGAGAAAAUCAAGGCUCAAAGAUGAAGUGUUCUCUAAGGUCUCAGAGUUAGCUGGUGGCAGAGGUGGGACUAGAAGCUAGGUCUUCUAACUCCUACCCCUGCCCUCUUUCCAAUAUGCAAAUAUCCUGCCUGAUAUGUAUUACAGAUGAUGGUGACAGAAAUCACAAUGGCAGCGAUCACUGACUGGAUGCUUACUCAUGGCCAGAGACAGUAUUAAGUAUUUUUCAUGAAUGAUUUCACAUCAUCCUCAGAAUUUCAAAUCCACCAGGUAGAUGAGGAAACAGAGGCUCAGAAGGAUCAUGCAACUUCACCAAGACCCUGCUGCAGAAUCUUCUUGGGCCGUUACUCCCUCGGAGUGAAGCAAAUCCUUCAUAGGGAAUGCUGGAUGUGCCUGUAACAAAC
Molecule: long non-coding RNA, 728 nt
Filed under: Pan troglodytes (chimpanzee)
Lineage: Eukaryota; Metazoa; Chordata; Mammalia; Primates; Hominidae
Description: long non-coding RNA NONPTRT010867
Source: RNAcentral